This 1227-nucleotide long non-coding RNA is filed under the name Coturnix japonica (Japanese quail). Its description in RNAcentral is "lncRNA (ENSCJPG00005012737.1)". Lineage: Eukaryota; Metazoa; Chordata; Aves; Galliformes; Phasianidae. The record is from RNAcentral.
AUGGAGGAGAGACCCCCCAGGUACCCCAGGGUGGCCUGGGCAGAGAGUGUGGCUCCCCAGGAGAGAAGACCUCCAGUGGAGUCUGAUGAAGUGACCGAGAUGCAGUCAUUGCAUGCUGAUGCUGACUGCCUGCCUCCUGGUGCAAAGGAGGAGAAUGAGGAGAUGGAGGAGAAGGAGGCCUUAAGUAUCAUAGAAAACUUCCUCAGGAGAACAGAAAAGGAGGAUAAGCUCAAGGUGAUGUUCCUGGAGAGCAUCUGCAGCAUUGCUAGAAUCAGCAAAAACAAGGGCUUUUGUGACAGCCUGGCUAUUUUCUGCCGUAAGAAGAAAUUGGCAGAGAAAGUCAAGGAGCUGCUGGAAAAUGAGCCCAUGGACCAGCUGUGCACAGCAGUGCGGUACCAAGCCAUGCUUGCAGUCGCUGCCUUGAGUGAAAUGAAGGCCAUUUCGGAGGAUGAAAUAAUGCCUCUCGCAUUUAUGUGCUUCAAAGCCAUCUCCUAUCUUCCUCCAGAAGAGGACCUGAACAUCUGCCUUUACAAUCAAACUCUGCAUGCUAUGGAGAAAAUGCUGCAGAAGCUGCUGGUCAGCCAUCGCACCUCCAGCAGAAAGGAGCUGCAGAACAUCUUGCAGGUGCUUCUGCCCUUCACCAAAUCCCAGAGAAAAACUGUGCGUGAGAGGGCCAUGGAGCAGAUCUGGAAGCUUUGUGGUUUCAUGGCCACCGGUUUCUGUGAGGAGCCAUUUGGAAAACUCCUCCAACCUCCUCAGAGAACAGACAUCGUCCUCAUGGCCCUUGAAAGGACCACUGCAGACUGCGUUGAUGAGGACGAUGCAUGGGCCGAAAUUAUACUGAAAGAAGUUCUGAGACAGCCUGGCAUCUGGCUGAUGCACGUGCCAGUGAUUAUGGGGUUCAUCUACAGACGCUUAAAAAGCAACAAAACAUCAGUUCAGCAGACACUCCUCUCAGUACUUGAUGUGCUGGCCUACCAGUUCCCUAGGCAUGUGCUGACAGCUGUGUUGAUCCACCUUCCACAGACUGACAGCACUACUAUGGAUAUGUGGAAGGGCGUGCUUUCUUCUACACGGUCAUCAGAGAGGGUCUUAGAAGCACUAGUGUGCGCAGUACCUCCUUUCCCUGACUGUGAUUUACCAGACAGUGCACUGUACUCUUUUUCAGGGCUCUUUUUCUCCAGUUCCCUGCUUUUUCCUGUCUUGCCCCCCAGAACAGGAAGCUAG